CCGGCGAUGUCCGAAUGGGGAAACCCAGUGCAAUUCGUUGCACUAUCGUUAACUGAAUACAUAGGUUAACGAGGCGAACCGGGGGAACUGAAACAUCUAAGUACCCCGAGGAAAAGAAAUCAACCGAGAUUCCCCCAGUAGCGGCGAGCGAACGGGGAGCAGCCCAGAGUCUGAAUCAGCUUGUGUGUUAGUGGAACGGUCUGGAAAGUCCGACGGUACAGGGUGAUAGUCCCGUACACCAAAAUGCACAGGCUGUGAACUCGAAGAGUAGGGCGGGACACGUGGUAUCCUGUCUGAAUAUGGGGGGACCAUCCUCCAAGGCUAAAUACUCCUGACUGACCGAUAGUGAACCAGUACCGUGAGGGAAAGGCGAAAAGAACCCCGGCGAGGGGAGUGAAAAAGAACCUGAAACCGUGUACGUACAAGCAGUGGGAGCACCUUCGGGUGUGACUGCGUACCUUUUGUAUAAUGGGUCAGCGACUUAUAUUCUGUAGCAAGGUUAACCGUAUAGGGGAGCCGCAGGGAAACCGAGUCUUAACUGGGCGUUAAGUUGCAGGGUAUAGACCCGAAACCCGGUGAUCUAGCCAUGGGCAGGUUGAAGGUUGGGUAACACUAACUGGAGGACCGAACCGACUAAUGUUGAAAAAUUAGCGGAUGACUUGUGGCUGGGGGUGAAAGGCCAAUCAAACCGGGAGAUAGCUGGUUCUCCCCGAAAGCUAUUUAGGUAGCGCCUCGUGAACUCAUCUUCGGGGGUAGAGCACUGUUUCGGCUAGGGGGUCAUCCCGACUUACCAACCCGAUGCAAACUACGAAUACCGAAGAAUGUUAUCACGGGAGACACACGGCGGGUGCUAACGUCCGUCGUGAAGAGGGAAACAACCCAGACCGCCAGCUAAGGUCCCAAAGUCAUGGUUAAGUGGGAAACGAUGUGGGAAGGCACAGACAGCCAGGAUGUUGGCUUAGAAGCAGCCAUCAUUUAAAGAAAGCGUAAUAGCUCACUGGUCGAGUCGGCCUGCGCGGAAGAUGUAACGGGGCUAAACCAUGCACCGAAGCUGCGGCAGCGACACUAUGUGUUGUUGGGUAGGGGAGCGUUCUGUAAGCCUGCGAAGGUGUGCUGUGAGGCAUGCUGGAGGUAUCAGAAGUGCGAAUGCUGACAUAAGUAACGAUAAAGCGGGUGAAAAGCCCGCUCGCCGGAAGACCAAGGGUUCCUGUCCAACGUUAAUCGGGGCAGGGUGAGUCGACCCCUAAGGCGAGGCCGAAAGGCGUAGUCGAUGGGAAACAGGUUAAUAUUCCUGUACUUGGUGUUACUGCGAAGGGGGGACGGAGAAGGCUAUGUUAGCCGGGCGACGGUUGUCCCGGUUUAAGCAUGUAGGCUGGUUGUCCAGGCAAAUCCGGAUAAUCAAGGCUGAGGUGUGAUGACGAGGCACUACGGUGCUGAAGUAACAAAUGCCCUGCUUCCAGGAAAAGCCUCUAAGCAUCAGGUAACAUUAAAUCGUACCCCAAACCGACACAGGUGGUCAGGUAGAGAAUACCAAGGCGCUUGAGAGAACUCGGGUGAAGGAACUAGGCAAAAUGGUGCCGUAACUUCGGGAGAAGGCACGCUGGUGUGUAGGUGAAGUCCCUGCGGAUGGAGCUGAGACCAGUCGAAGAUACCAGCUGGCUGCAACUGUUUAUUAAAAACACAGCACUGUGCAAACACGAAAGUGGACGUAUACGGUGUGACGCCUGCCCGGUGCCGGAAGGUUAAUUGAUGGGGUUAUCCGUAAGGAGAAGCUCUUGAUCGAAGCCCCGGUAAACGGCGGCCGUAACUAUAACGGUCCUAAGGUAGCGAAAUUCCUUGUCGGGUAAGUUCCGACCUGCACGAAUGGCGUAAUGAUGGCCAGGCUGUCUCCACCCGAGACUCAGUGAAAUUGAACUCGCUGUGAAGAUGCAGUGUACCCGCGGCAAGACGGAAAGACCCCGUGAACCUUUACUAUAGCUUGACACUGAACAUUGAGCCUUGAUGUGUAGGAUAGGUGGGAGGCUUUGAAGCGUGGACGCCAGUCUGCGUGGAGCCAACCUUGAAAUACCACCCUUUAAUGUUUGAUGUUCUAACGUUGGCCCCUUACCGGGGUUGCGGACAGUGUCUGGUGGGUAGUUUGACUGGGGCGGUCUCCUCCUAAAGCGUAACGGAGGAGCACGAAGGUUAGCUAAUCCUGGUCGGACAUCAGGAGGUUAGUGCAAUGGCAUAAGCUAGCUUGACUGCGAGCGUGACGGCGCGAGCAGGUGCGAAAGCAGGUCAUAGUGAUCCGGUGGUUCUGAAUGGAAGGGCCAUCGCUCAACGGAUAAAAGGUACUCCGGGGAUAACAGGCUGAUACCGCCCAAGAGUUCAUAUCGACGGCGGUGUUUGGCACCUCGAUGUCGGCUCAUCACAUCCUGGGGCUGAAGUAGGUCCCAAGGGUAUGGCUGUUCGCCAUUUAAAGUGGUACGCGAGCUGGGUUUAGAACGUCGUGAGACAGUUCGGUCCCUAUCUGCCGUGGGCGCUGGAGAAUUGAGGGGGGCUGCUCCUAGUACGAGAGGACCGGAGUGGACGCAUCACUGGUGUUCGGGUUGUCAUGCCAAUGGCACUGCCCGGUAGCUAAAUGCGGAAGAGAUAAGUGCUGAAAGCAUCUAAGCACGAAACUUGCCCCGAGAUGAGUUCUCCCUGAGACUUUAAGUCUCCUGAAGGAACGUU
Molecule: ribosomal RNA, 2712 nt
Filed under: Klebsiella pneumoniae
Lineage: Bacteria; Pseudomonadati; Pseudomonadota; Gammaproteobacteria; Enterobacterales; Enterobacteriaceae
Description: partial 23S ribosomal RNA
Rfam family: Bacterial large subunit ribosomal RNA
Source: RNAcentral